RNAcentral lists this ribosomal RNA (451 nucleotides) under uncultured bacterium. RNAcentral describes it as "partial 16S ribosomal RNA". It matches the Rfam family "Bacterial small subunit ribosomal RNA", at positions 28 to 507 of the family's 1533-position model. The record is from RNAcentral.
GAUGAAUGCUGGCGGCGUGCCUAACACAUGCAAGUCGAGCGGCAGCGAGGGGUGCUUGCACCCUGUCGGCGAGCGGCGAACGGCUGAGUAACGCGUAGGAAUUUGCCCCAAAGUGAGGAAUAACUGCCCGAAAGGGUAGCUAAUGCCGCAUAUGGUCUUCGGAUUACAGGAUUUAUCCGCUUUGGGAGAAGCCUGCGUUGGAUUAGGUUGUUGGUAGGGUAAUGGCCUACCAAGCCGACGAUCCAUAGCUGGCCUGAGAGGAUGAUCAGCCAGACUGGAACUGAGACACGGUCCAGACUCCUACGGGAGGCAGCAGUGAGGAAUCUUCCACAAUGGGCGAAAGCCUGAUGGAGCAACGCCGCGUGAAGGAUGAAGGCCUUCGGGUUGUAAACUUCUUUUAUGAGUGAAGAAUAUGACAGUAACUCAUGAAUAAGCACCGGCUAACUACGUG